This is a long non-coding RNA of Nerophis ophidion (straightnose pipefish), 2804 nucleotides long. RefSeq lists it as uncharacterized. The record is from RefSeq and is a predicted model, not a curated record. The transcript is spliced from 3 exons. NCBI's taxonomy places the organism in Eukaryota, Metazoa, Chordata, Actinopteri, Syngnathiformes, Syngnathidae.
GUGGGCGCCCCCCGGACCCUGUCUCCAAUAUCAUAAUGUCAAAUUUAUUCCAGCAUGCGAAACUUCCAGCGGGACAACUGUCGUCACCAGCAUCCUAGCUAAAAUUACUUAAGGGCGGGUUGGGAAGAGAGGGAAAGUGUUUACAUAGCUGUUUAAGCCCGCCGCCACCUCUCCGCCAAUAAGCUUCUCUGUUGCUAUUCUACUUUCAGGCGCCCGGGCAGUUUUUGUCUUGUGACAUGCCAACAUUUUUUCCAAUGGACGCCAAAUGGAUCACUUGCCCUUCCUCCUGUUUCACUGGUCUGAUGUCUCUCCUGAUUGCCUGAUUGUGUCCACAUGUCACCCACCCUCAAUGGGUAUGAGUGGCUCGUCUUCAUUCUGUCCUGUGCCAGAGUGUUUUUGUAUCUUUUGUGCGAACCUCCAGCGUUCCAUGUCCACAGCCAUUGCCAUGUUUUUUGUACCCUUUUUGUCAGCGACUCCUCGCUCUCCCGGCCCUCCAGCCUGGGAACCUCCAGUUUGUCUAUGAAGGCCUGCAGUUCAUUCCGGAAGGCUUUCAUCUGGGCGUUGAUGCGAUACAGCAGCUCAUGCUCCCUAAUACGGCUGCCAUCAUCCUCUGCGCCGCCUUCCCAUGCUAGCACGAGGUCGCUGCUGGAGACGUAGACCCUUGCCUCUGAUAUGAUGGCCGCCGUGUCAGCGAUGAGGCGGUCGAUGGUCCGAACAAGCCUCUCCGCUUCCACUCGGAUGUCAAUCAUUUGCUGCCUGUUGUGUAGGCUGCCCCGCCCGCCAGGAAGGAAGCGGGAUAACGGGGAGGAGGCAGCGCCCUCUGGUCCAGAGGGCGUGAGGAGGCCCCUGGUCGGGGUUAAGCAACGGCUGCUGCCAUUAAUGUUCCUGACCUCGUCUGAGUCGCUCUCUCCGCCGACUGGGCCCUCGCGUUUGCGGUGAGGAGGAAGCAGGCGAGACGACGUGGAGUCUUCGUCACUCUCGCGCCGACCGCUUGUGCCGCCGGCGUCGCUCUCGGCAUCGCUGUCCCUUGGGCUGGGCCGCAGGGAAAGGUGGGAAGCCAAGUCGUAGCGUUGCAUGUUGGAGAGGAGCACGCGGUUCUCGUACUGCAGCUGCAUUACCUGAAGGGACGGAAAAGGUUAUCAGAUUUUUUUAGAAUUGCGUAAUGCUAAUAAAAAAAUGUCAUCAUGCACUAAUGUGACCAGUCAGGGGUGCUUAAACACACUCUACCUGUGUUUACCUGUUUUUCCCUAUCUAACAUAGUACAAUAUAUGGAACACUUAUGAGGUUGAUGCCAUGUUAAUGUUAGCAUUUAUAUUAAAAGUAAGCAUUAUUACACUACAAAUGGAGCAAUAAAAUUCCAACAAGAAAUAGCCUCUGCUAUCAACAAUAGUUGUUUCAAAGGCAACAAUACAUACUGUAUAUGUAAUGAUAACUUGACUUACAAAAGACAGCAGAUAAGUGGAGGAAAAGAAAGAGAAGCUAACUGUAUUAACCUCGUAGAUUGUUAUAGUAACAAUAGGUUAAGCUUUGUCAGUGUACCGUGUGUUACCCAGUUUACCCUAGGGGAACAACGUUAAUAUAUGUUUGAUGAAACAUGAUUAUUUAUAUUCAUGGCUGUAUGUAUGCAUAUGUGUAUAUGUAUGUCUGUACAGUGAAUGUGCGUGUGGAUGUAUGGACAGUGAGUGUGUAGGUAUGUGGGAGUGUAUGUACCUAUGUACAGUAUGUGUGUAAGUACUAAUGUGUACAAGUAUGUAUUAAUGAAUGAAUAUGCGUAUGUGUGUUUAUAUGUAUGAAUAAUUGUGUGUAUGUGAGAAUGUAUGUGCAUUUGUAUGUACAAUGUAUUUGUCUCCAAGUGUGUGCGAGAGCCAAAGUAUGGCCCCAGCCACCCAGAGAUCCCAACCCAAAACAGCAGGUGCGGUGCCCAGGGAACAAGGGACCAUUGGCCCUACUUAGCCAGGCCUGCCAGCGACAGGAGAAGAAAAGGACAGCCAGCCCCCAAGCCUGCCAUAGACCACACCCCACGAGGGCAGAAAGACGUGACGCCCUGCCCCAAGACUCCCCGCAGCCAGACGGGAAGACCGCUCCCACCCCACCAGCAACCGGGCCCCCAUGAGCCCAAACACCCCAGAAAAGCACGGCAGGGCCCACCCUGGGCCGUCCCACCCAAGUUGGCUACUGCAGGACCGCCCAGUACCCAUGACACCUGCAGGGACCCGACGAUGGAGAUGGAACAUUCAUUACUGCCAAGGCGGAUCCUCCCCCUGAAAGAAGAGGGGGGAAAAAACAAGGGAAAAAAAAAAAGAGGAGAUCACAGAUACACUGACAAAAUGGAUACAUGGAUGAUACAGCAGAGGAUUGGGAGAAUGUCAUGUGGUCAGAUGAAACCAAAAUAUAACUUUUUGGUAUAAACUCAACUUGUGUUUGGAGGAAGAAGAAUGCUGAUUUUACAUCCAAAGAACACCAAACCUACUGUGAAGCAUGGGGGUGGAAACAUCAUGCUUUGGGGCUGUUUUUCUGCUAAGGGGACAGGACGAUUGAUCUGUGUUAAGGAAAGAAUGAAUGGGGCCAUGUAUCGUGAGAUUUUGAGCCAAAACCUCCUUCCAUCAGUGAGAGCUUUGAAUGGUUGACCAAAUACUUAUUUUCCACCAUAAUUUACAAAUGAAUUCUUAAAAUUUCCUACAAUGUGAAUUCCUGGAUUUUUUCACAUUCUGUCUCUCACAGUUGAAGUGUACCAAUGAUGAAAAUUACAGACCUCUGGCAUCAUUUUAAGUGGGAGAACUUGCACAAUCGGUGGCUGACUAAAU